AAUAUUGGACAAUGGGCGAAAGCCUGAUCCAGCCAUCCCGCGUGUGUGAUGAAGGUCUUCGGAUUGUAAAGCACUUUAGGUUGGGAGGAAGGGCUUUCGGCUAAUACGCCGUAGUGUUGACGUUACCUACAGAAUAAGCACCGGCUAACUCGGUGCCAGCAGCCGCGGUAAUACAGAGGGUGCAAGCGUUAAUCGGAAUUACUGGGCGUAAAGCGCGUGUAGGUGGUUGAGUAAGAUGGGUGAGAAAUCCCCGGGCUUAACCUGGGAAGUGCUUUCAAAACUGCUGAGAUAGAGUACGAUAGAGGGUAAUGAAACUUCCUGUAUCGGGGUGAAAUGCGUAGAUAUAGGAAGAAACACCAGUGGCGAAGGCGACUACCUGGAAAGAUACUGACACUGAGGUGCGAACGCGUGGGGAGAAAAC
Molecule: ribosomal RNA, 421 nt
Filed under: uncultured bacterium
Lineage: Bacteria
Description: partial 16S ribosomal RNA
Rfam family: Bacterial small subunit ribosomal RNA
Source: RNAcentral